UAGGGAAUCUUCCGCAAUGGGCGAAAGCCUGACGGAGCAACGCCGCGUGAGUGAUGAAGGUCUUCGGAUCGUAAAACUCUUUUAUUAGGGAAGAACAAAUGUGUAAGUAACUAUGCACGUCUUGACGGUACCUAAUCAGAAAGCCACGGCUAACUACGUGCCAGCAGCCGCGGUAAUACGUAGGUGGCAAGCGUUAUCCGGAAUUAUUGGGCGUAAAGCGCGCGUAGGCGGUUUUUUAAGUCUGAUGUGAAAGCCCACGGCUCAACCGUGGAGGGUCAUUGGAAACUGGAAAACUUGAGUGCAGAAGAGGAAAGUGGAAUUCCAUGUGUGGCGGUGAAAUACGCAGAGAUAUGGAGGAACACCAGUGGCGAAGGCGACUUUCUGGUCUGUAACUGACGCUGAUGUGCGAAAGCGUGGGGAUCAAACAGG
This 429-nucleotide ribosomal RNA is filed under the name Actinomycetes bacterium. Its description in RNAcentral is "Actinobacteria bacterium partial 16S ribosomal RNA". It matches the Rfam family "Bacterial small subunit ribosomal RNA", at positions 355 to 776 of the family's 1533-position model. Lineage: Bacteria; Bacillati; Actinomycetota; Actinomycetes. The record is from RNAcentral.